Molecule: ribosomal RNA, 440 nt
Filed under: uncultured bacterium
Lineage: Bacteria
Description: partial 16S ribosomal RNA
Rfam family: Bacterial small subunit ribosomal RNA
Source: RNAcentral
CCUACGGGAGGCAGCAGUAGGGAAUAUUGCUCAAUGGGGGAAACCCUGAAGCAGCAACGCCGCGUGGAGGAUGAAGGUUUUCGGAUUGUAAACUCCUUUUGUUAGAGAAGAUAAUGACGGUAUCUAACGAAUAAGCACCGGCUAACGCCGUGCCAGCAGCCGCGGUAAUACGGAGGGUGCAAGCGUUACUCGGAAUCACUGGGCGUAAAGAGCGCGUAGGCGGGAUAGCAAGUCAGAUGUGAAAUCCUAUGGCUUAACCAUAGAACUGCAUUUGAAACUGUUAUUCUAGAGUAUGGGAGAGGUAGGUGGAAUUCUUGGUGUAGGGGUAAAAUCCGUAGAGAUCAAGAGGAAUACUCAUUGCGAAGGCGACCUGCUAGAACAUAACUGACGCUGAUGCGCGAAAGCGUGGGGAGCGAACAAGAUUAGAUACCCCAGUAGUC